RNAcentral lists this small RNA (28 nucleotides) under Bombyx mori (domestic silkworm). RNAcentral's name for it is "ovarian small RNA-9154". Lineage: Eukaryota; Metazoa; Arthropoda; Insecta; Lepidoptera; Bombycidae. The record is from RNAcentral.
UGUUAGUGCAUGUUUGCAUUGGGUCUGU